This 1032-nucleotide ribosomal RNA is filed under the name uncultured fungus. RNAcentral's name for it is "eukaryotic LSU rRNA". The stretch from base 351 to 1032 matches the Rfam family "Eukaryotic large subunit ribosomal RNA", at positions 1 to 664 of the family's 3401-position model. The record is from RNAcentral. Lineage: Eukaryota; Fungi.
AUCGAUGAAGAACGCCGCGAAAGUGCGAAACGUAAUGUGAAUUGCAGAAUUCAGUGAAUCAUCGAAUCUUUGAACGCAUCUUGCGCUCCUUGGUAUUCCGAGGAGCAUGCCUGUUUGAGUGUCGUGAACUCUCUCGAUCCUAAUCCUUCUGUAAUGGAGGGGUCUGCGAUCGGAUUUGGAUGCUGCGGGCCUCUCGUGGGUCCGCUCGUCUUGAAAUGUAUCAGCUGGUUCCGCCGCAACGAGCGUGGUUUCACUAUGGUGUGAUAAGUAAUGCUUUGACGCCGUCCGUGACUCUCGUCUCGAUGUGUGAGGACCGCUUCUAAUCGUCCUCGGACAACACACACGUCAUCUGACCUCAAAUCAGGUAGGACUACCCGCUGAACUUAAGCAUAUCAAUAAGCGGAGGAAAAGAAACUAACAAGGAUUCCCCUAGUAACGGCGAGUGAAGCGGGAAGAGCUCAAAUUUGUAAUCUGGCGGUCUCAGGCCGUCCGAGUUGUAGUCUGGAGAAGUGUUUUCCGCGUCGGACCGUGUACAAGUCCCUUGGAACAGGGCGUCAUAGAGGGUGAGAAUCCCGUCUUUGACACGGACUGCCGAUGCUUUGUGAUGCGCUCUCGAAGAGUCGAGUUGUUUGGGAAUGCAGCUCAAAACGGGUGGUAAAUUCCAUCUAAAGCUAAAUAUUGGCGAAAGACCGAUAGCGAACAAGUACCGUGAGGGAAAGAUGAAAAGCACUUUGGAAAGAGAGUUAAACAGUACGUGAAAUUGUUGAAAGGGAAACGAUUGAAGUCAGUCGCGUCUCCCGGGACUCAGCCUUGCUUCUGCUCGGUGCAUUUCCUGGGGUGACGGGCCAGCAUCAAUUUCGACCGUCGGAGAAAGGCUGGGGGAAUGUGGCACCUUCGGGUGUGUUAUAGCCCUCGGUCGUAUGCGACGGUUGGGAUUGAGGAUCGCAGCACGCCUUCAUGGCCGGGGUUCGCCCACGUAACGUGCUUAGGAUGCUGGCGUAAUGGCUUYAAACGACCCGUCUUGAAACACGG